Bufo bufo (common toad) is the source of this 202-nucleotide long non-coding RNA. RefSeq lists it as uncharacterized. The transcript is spliced from 4 exons. NCBI's taxonomy places the organism in Eukaryota, Metazoa, Chordata, Amphibia, Anura, Bufonidae. The record is from RefSeq and is a predicted model, not a curated record.
CGGAUCCAUUUUUCACUGACACAAUAUGGUGCAAUUGAAAACGGAUCCGUCCCCCAUUGACUUUCAAUAUAAGUCAAGACGGAUCCGUUUUGACUUAGACUUUUUUUGAAUGAAUAAUGAAAACUGAUUCGUUAUGAAUGGAUACAAGAGUUUGCAUUAUCGGUGCAGAUCCAUCUGUGCAGAUACAAUACGGAUCCGCACC